This 209-nucleotide ribosomal RNA is filed under the name Escherichia coli. RNAcentral's name for it is "partial 23S ribosomal RNA". It matches the Rfam family "Bacterial large subunit ribosomal RNA", at positions 2739 to 2925 of the family's 2925-position model. The record is from RNAcentral. Lineage: Bacteria; Pseudomonadati; Pseudomonadota; Gammaproteobacteria; Enterobacterales; Enterobacteriaceae.
UGCCCGGUAGCUAAAUGCGGAAGAGAUAAGUGCUGAAAGCAUCUAAGCACGAAACUUGCCCCGAGAUGAGUUCUCCCUGACCCUUUAAGGGUCCUGAAGGAACGUUGAAGACGACGACGUUGAUAGGCCGGGUGUGUAAGCGCAGCGAUGCGUUGAGCUAACCGGUACUAAUGAACCGUGAGGCUUAACCUUACAACGCCGAAGCUGUU